CGGAAGUAAAGUCUAAAAGGUUUCCGUAGGUGAACCUGCGGAAGGAUCAUUAAAAAAUAUCCUCGAUGAGAGUGAUUAAUAAUCAUCCUACCUUUGUGAAUUUGUUGUUUGAAUAAUUUUUUUGAUUUUAAAAAAAAUUAUUAUGUUUUGUCUAUCCUAAAUUGGUUGUUGUUGUAAAAGACAAGUGAAUCAUUUAGGAAUAGGCUUUCAUAAAUAAUAUUUUUUUUCAAGUCUUAAAGACCUUUUUUAAAUUAACUUUGUAUCAUUUGUCUAAAUAUUUUUAAAUAAUUUAAAACAACUUUGACAAUGGAUCUCUUGGUUCUCGCAACGAUGAAGAACGCAGCAAAAUGCGAUAAGUAAUGUGAAUUGCAGAAUACGUGAAUCAUCAAAUCUCGAACGCAUAUUGCACUUUUUAGUUUACUAAAAAGUAUGUCUGUUUGAGUAUCAGUAAAUAUCUCAUAAAACAUUUUUGUUUUAUGGUUAUGAGUGUUUACAACGAUAAACAAGUUGUUCACUUAAAUUCAUUUUAAUUUAAGACCAUUUUGGUUUUAAUAAAAAUUGAUAAAAUUUCCGUAAAAAGGAAUAACCUUUCAGUUUUUUAAUUAUUACCAACAAACGGUCCGAUUUAAAAGGAAAUUAUUUAAAUAACUUGAUCUCAAAUCAGAUAAGAGUACCCGCUGAACUUAAGCAUAUCAAUAAGCGAGGAAAAGAAACUAACAAGGAUCCUUAGUAACGCGAGUGAAGCGGAAGAGCUCAAAUUUGAAAUCUUCAAGUUCUACCUUGACGAAUUGUAGUUUAAAGAAGUGUUUCUGUUAGAUGAGUAGCAAAAGUUCCUUGGAAUGGACAUCAUAGAGGGUGAGAAUCCGUAUUUGGUUAUUCAUUCUAGCUUGUGAUACACUUUCAAGAGUCGGAUGUUUGGGAAUGCAGUCCAAAAUGGUGGUAAAUUUCAUCUAAAGCUAAAUAUUGGCGAGAGACGAUAGCGAACAAGUACCGUGAGGAAAGAUGAAAAGAACUUUGAAAAGAGAGUUAAACAGUACGUGAAAUUGUCAAAAGGGAAGCGUUUGACACCAGUGUUGUUUUCCGAAAUCAAUUACGAAUGGCUUGAUUUUGUGUUGUAUUGACCUAUCAGCUUUCUUCACUUUUUCGAGUCUUUCUUAAUCACUUUCGGUUAACAAGUCAACAUCAAUUUCUUUUGUUGUAAAAGGUAUUCGGAAGUGGCUUUCUUUCGGAGAAAGUGUUAUAGCCUAUACUUCUACAUCGGAGAGAUUGAGGUCUGCAGCGUAGAUCCUUCGGGUUAGAUACAUUUGUGCUAAGUUGUAGCUUUUCAUAGACAACUUGUUGACUAUGUUUAGUCAUGCGCUUACUCGCUUAUGCUACUUUACCUACGCUUAGGAUGUUGAC
This 1401-nucleotide unclassified non-coding RNA is filed under the name uncultured Neocallimastigales. RNAcentral's name for it is "partial contains small subunit ribosomal RNA, internal transcribed spacer 1, 5.8S ribosomal RNA, internal transcribed spacer 2, and large subunit ribosomal RNA". The stretch from base 651 to 1401 matches the Rfam family "Eukaryotic large subunit ribosomal RNA", at positions 1 to 630 of the family's 3401-position model. The record is from RNAcentral. Lineage: Eukaryota; Fungi; Neocallimastigomycota; Neocallimastigomycetes; Neocallimastigales.